RNAcentral lists this ribosomal RNA (462 nucleotides) under Ceranisus nr. bozovaensis 1 OD-2009. RNAcentral describes it as "eukaryotic LSU rRNA". Lineage: Eukaryota; Metazoa; Arthropoda; Insecta; Hymenoptera; Eulophidae. The record is from RNAcentral.
CCUGAGAAACCCAAAAGAUCGAAUGGGGAGAUUCACCGUCAGCGCGGCUGGCUUCCGUGCGGUUCGCGAUGGCCGGGACCUCGGUCUCGCGUCACGCGUCCGCUGCGGCAUGUCCGGAUACGUCGGCGUGCACUUCUCCCCUAGUAGGACGUCGCGACCCGUUGGGUGUCGGACCGAUGGCCGUUUGGUCGCCUGUCUCGUCGCGUUCACGCGUGCACGGGGCAGACCGAAAUGGUCGAGCGUCCGGCUGCCCGGCGGUAUAGAACGCUAUUGAACGGUAAUGGGCCGCAUUAAAAGUGCGUCCAGGCUCGUCGGCAGGCUCGUCUCGCCCGUAUUUACGGACCUAGCGCCGUUGCCGGGUGCUUGGCGUGGCCGUUAGUCGACGAUGUCCUCAGACAGGCUCUAAAAUUCGAAAGGACGACCGGUCGGCGACGCUACUGCUUAGGUACUACAGUUGGUUUU